AUGAACGCUGGCGGCGUGCCUAAUACAUGCAAGUCGAGCGAACAGACGAGGAGCUUGCUCCUCUGACGUUAGCGGCGGACGGGUGAGUAACACGUGGAUAACCUACCUAUAAGACUGGGAUAACUUCGGGAAACCGGAGCUAAUACCGGAUAAUAUAUUGAACCGCAUGGUUCAAUAGUGAAAGACGGUUUUGCUGUCACUUAUAGAUGGAUCCGCGCCGCAUUAGCUAGUUGGUAAGGUAACGGCUUACCAAGGCAACGAUGCGUAGCCGACCUGAGAGGGUGAUCGGCCACACUGGAACUGAGACACGGUCCAGACUCCUACGGGAGGCAGCAGUAGGGAAUCUUCCGCAAUGGGUGAAAGCUUGACGGAGCAACGCCGCGUGAGUGAUGAAGGUCUUCGGAUCGUAAAACUCUGUUAUUAGGGAAGAACAAAUGUGUAAGUAACUAUGCACGUCUUGACGGUACCUAAUCAGAAAGCCACGGCUAACUACGU
Molecule: ribosomal RNA, 495 nt
Filed under: uncultured bacterium
Lineage: Bacteria
Description: partial 16S ribosomal RNA
Rfam family: Bacterial small subunit ribosomal RNA
Source: RNAcentral